RNAcentral lists this unclassified non-coding RNA (295 nucleotides) under uncultured Cortinariaceae. Its description in RNAcentral is "sequence contains ITS2". The record is from RNAcentral. Lineage: Eukaryota; Fungi; Basidiomycota; Agaricomycetes; Agaricales; Cortinariaceae.
AACGCACCUUGCGCCUCUUGGCUAUUCCGAGAGGCAUGCCUGUUUGAGUGUCAUUAAUAUAUAUAUAUCAACCUUCUCUUGUGGAAUGGUUUGGAUGUGGGGGUUUGCUGGGUUUCAUAUAUAUAUAUAUGGGUUCAGCUCUCCUGAAAUGCAUUAGCAGAACGACCUGUUCAUUUGGUGUGAUAACUAUCUACGCUAUUGAAUGUGAGGGGCAAGUUCAGCUUUCCAACAGUCCUCUUGGACAACUCAUCAUUAAUGUGACCUCAAAUCAGGUAGGACUACCCGCUGAACUUAA